RNAcentral lists this RNase P RNA (312 nucleotides) under Flavobacterium cauense R2A-7. RNAcentral's name for it is "bacterial RNase P". It matches the Rfam family "Bacterial RNase P class A". Rfam says of the family: Ribonuclease P (RNase P) is a ubiquitous endoribonuclease, found in archaea, bacteria and eukarya as well as chloroplasts and mitochondria. The record is from RNAcentral. Lineage: Bacteria; Pseudomonadati; Bacteroidota; Flavobacteriia; Flavobacteriales; Flavobacteriaceae.
AUCGCAGACCGCCUUAUCGUCGUUCCGAGCAAUCGGGAGGAAGGAAAGUCCGGACACCACAGAGUAGCAUAGCGGGUAAUGCCCGUCCGUCGAGAGGCGAGGACAAGUGCAACAGAAAGUAUGUACAGGUAAUGCUGUAGUGAAACCAGGUAAACUCUAUGCGGUGAAAUGCCAAGUAUAUCAGCAUUUAAGGGCGACUCGUCCGUUGUUGAAGGGUAGGCAGCUUGAGUUAUUCAGCAAUGAAUAAUCUAGAUAAAUGAUAAGGGCUAACUUCGGUUGGUACAGAAUCCGGCUUACAGGUCUGCAUUUUUU